UACGGAGGAUCCAAGCGUUAUCCGGAUUUAUUGGGUUUAAAGGGUGCGUAGGCGGCUUAUUAAGUCAGGGGUGAAAGACGGUGGCUCAACCAUCGCAGUGCCUUUGAUACUGAUGAGCUUGAAUGAACUAGAGGUAGGCGGAAUGUGACAAGUAGCCGGUGAAAUGCAUAGAUAUGUCACAGAACACCCGAUUGCGAAGGCAGCUUAC
This 208-nucleotide ribosomal RNA is filed under the name uncultured bacterium. RNAcentral describes it as "partial 16S ribosomal RNA". It matches the Rfam family "Bacterial small subunit ribosomal RNA", at positions 524 to 729 of the family's 1533-position model. The record is from RNAcentral.